GCCAUCAUUUAAAGAAAGCGUAAUAGCUCACUGGUCGAGUCGGCCUGCGCGGAAGAUGUAACGGGGCUAAACCAUGCACCGAAGCUGCGGCAGCGACGCUUAUGCGUUGUUGGGUAGGGGAGCGUUCUGUAAGCCUGUGAAGGUGUACUGUGAGGUAUGCUGGAGGUAUCAGAAGUGCGAAUGCUGACAUAAGUAACGAUAAAGCGGGUGAAAAGCCCGCUCGCCGGAAGACCAAGGGUUCCUGUCCAACGUUAAUCGGGGCAGGGUGAGUCGACCCCUAAGGCGAGGCCGAAAGGCGUAGU
Molecule: ribosomal RNA, 302 nt
Filed under: Escherichia coli
Lineage: Bacteria; Pseudomonadati; Pseudomonadota; Gammaproteobacteria; Enterobacterales; Enterobacteriaceae
Description: partial 23S ribosomal RNA
Rfam family: Bacterial large subunit ribosomal RNA
Source: RNAcentral